This is a long non-coding RNA of Mesocricetus auratus (golden hamster), 433 nucleotides long. RefSeq lists it as uncharacterized. Lineage: Eukaryota; Metazoa; Chordata; Mammalia; Rodentia; Cricetidae. The record is from RefSeq and is a predicted model, not a curated record. The transcript is spliced from 2 exons.
UCCACAGAAACCAACAGGCCCAACGAGAUGGCAGAAGAAACCCCUUGUAAAGGGGAACCUUCAGCUGCUUUGCAGAGAUGCAGCCAGGCAGUCAAAGAGAAAUUUCACCCCGUGUGGUGCCUGGCAUAUAUGGUCCAAAUAGCACCUGGCACCUCUGCACUCCCUGACUACUGCAGCUGUGGUUUAUGAAUAAGCAGACUUCCUCUGAGGACCUAAGAAGCACUUAUUUCUAAGUGGAUGAAUUAAUUAAUACUCAGGAGGUUCUAGAGUCAUUUAGAAGGUCCUUUCGUGCUUCCUUGGCCUUCACUGUGUUCUGGGUUAUCAAGAUUCAGAGAUAUGGAAGAGCAAGACAAGAAGGAAAAGCCGAAGAAGCCUCAUCUAAUUUGAUAAAAGAGGCAGCCACACAAGAAAAUAAACAAAGCUGCCUUCUGUU